ACCUGGUCAGAAGCUCGUGAGCUAUGUCGCCUGAUUGUUCACAUCAGCUACAGAUCCAACUCCUUGUUCUAUCUUUCUCCUCUUCUCACUAUUGCAGUUGACUAGUCUUAA
Molecule: unclassified non-coding RNA, 111 nt
Organism: Otolemur garnettii (small-eared galago)
Lineage: Eukaryota; Metazoa; Chordata; Mammalia; Primates; Galagidae
Rfam family: Y RNA
About the family: Y RNAs are components of the Ro ribonucleoprotein particle (Ro RNP), in association with Ro60 and La proteins.
Source: Ensembl